RNAcentral lists this ribosomal RNA (291 nucleotides) under Triticum aestivum (bread wheat). RNAcentral describes it as "partial small subunit ribosomal RNA". Lineage: Eukaryota; Viridiplantae; Streptophyta; Magnoliopsida; Poales; Poaceae. The record is from RNAcentral.
AUGGUAUUCGGCGAUUUUAACGAGAUCCUUUAUGCUCAUGAGAAGGAGGGGGGAGCGGCUCGGGAGCAGCGACAGAUGCAGGGGUUUAGAGACGCUCUGGCUGACUGCGAUCUCGAUGAUAUGGGAGCCUCAGGAGAUAGUUUUACGUGGAGUAGAGGGCGGAUUAAGGAGAGGCUGGACAGAGCGGUCUGUAAUUCUAGGUGGAAUGAUAUCUAUCCACAUGCAGGAGUAGUGAAUGGGGAGAUGACGAAGUCUGAUCAUCGUCCGUUGGUGGUGGAUACAGAAUAUUAU